GCUGCCCAAACAGGCGUGUUAAAGCAGUGGACCGUGAUGUGUUGCACAGCCUCGCUACUCAAAAGGUGGAUGAAGUUCAUCUGGAUGCGACCGACCCCCAUCUCCACCUGGAAGGCACGCAUUUGCUGAUCCAACCUUGGAGACGGUGACGGGUUUCAAGCAUGUCUGUCCUCCAGCAGUGAAGUUGCAUGUGACCUCGAUGGUGUCAGCAUCGCAGCCCAGGUUUGGAUCGAUCCAAAUGGAAGAACGAGGCGAUACAAGGAGCUCAUUUUUUUUUCCUCCCAAGAGUGAACAGCUAAUGCU
Molecule: long non-coding RNA, 303 nt
Organism: Hippocampus comes (tiger tail seahorse)
Lineage: Eukaryota; Metazoa; Chordata; Actinopteri; Syngnathiformes; Syngnathidae
Exons: 3
Source: RefSeq, a predicted model, not a curated record